CAUAGUUUACUGGAUAUAUUCCAUUACAUGGAUAACUGUGGUAAUUCUACAGCUAAUACACGCAUCAAAGCCCCGACUUCGGAAGGGGUGCGUUAGUUACUUCAAACUGAUCGGUCUUCGGACUGCCAUCAAGUGAGAUUGAACUAUUUAGCUGAUCGCACGGUCUAAGAACCGGCGACAUAUCCUUCAAAUGUCUGCCUUAUCAACUUUCGAUGGUAGAUUAUGCGCCUACCAUGGUUGUAACGGGUAACGGAGAAUCAGGGUUUGAUUCCGGAGAGGGAGCCUGAGAAAUGGCUACCACA
This 302-nucleotide ribosomal RNA is filed under the name Metoncholaimus sp. TJP-2010. RNAcentral's name for it is "SSU rRNA". It matches the Rfam family "Eukaryotic small subunit ribosomal RNA", at positions 111 to 414 of the family's 1831-position model. The record is from RNAcentral. Lineage: Eukaryota; Metazoa; Nematoda; Enoplea; Enoplida; Oncholaimidae.